Molecule: ribosomal RNA, 864 nt
Filed under: Salmonella enterica
Lineage: Bacteria; Pseudomonadati; Pseudomonadota; Gammaproteobacteria; Enterobacterales; Enterobacteriaceae
Description: partial 23S ribosomal RNA
Rfam family: Bacterial large subunit ribosomal RNA
Source: RNAcentral
GACUUCUCCACUGUCUCAACCACGAACUCGGCGAAAUUGCACUACGAGUAAAGAUGCUCGUUACGCGCAGCAGGACGGAAAGACCCCGGGACCUUUACUACAGCUUGGUAUUGGUGUUCGGUACGGCUUGUGUAGGAUAGGUGGGAGACUGUGAAGCAUGCACGCCAGUGUGUGUGGAGUCAACGUUGAAAUACCACUCUGGUCGUUCUGGAUAUCUAACCUCGGUCCGUGAUCCGGAUCAGGGACAGUGCCUGGUGGGUAGUUUAACUGGGGCGGUUGCCUCCUAAAAGGUAACGGAGGCGCCCAAAGGUUCCCUCAGCCUGGUUGGCAAUCAGGUUUUGAGUGUAAGUGCACAAGGGAGCUUGACUGUGAGACAGGCAUGUCGAGCAGGGACGAAAGUCGGGACUAGUGAUCCGGCGGUGGCUUGUGGAAGCGCCGUCGCUCAACGGAUAAAAGGUACCCCGGGGAUAACAGGCUGAUCUUGCCCAAGAGUCCAUAUCGACGGCAUGGUUUGGCACCUCGAUGUCGGCUCGUCGCAUCCUGGGGCUGGAGUAGGUCCCAAGGGUUGGGCUGUUCGCCCAUUAAAGCGGUACGCGAGCUGGGUUUAGAACGUCGUGAGACAGUUCGGUCCCUAUCCGCUGUGCGCGUAGGAAACUUGAGAAGAGCUGUCCCUAGUACGAGAGGACCGGGAUGGACGAACCUCUGGUGUGUCAGUUGUUCUGCCAAGAGCACGGCUGAUUAGCUACGUUCGGAAGUGAUAACCGCUGAAAGCAUCUAAGCGGGAAGCACGCUUCAAGAUGAGGUUUCCAUGGGCUUCGGCCCGAGAGGCUCCCAGCUAGACUACUGGGUUGAUAGGCCAGACGU